Molecule: unclassified non-coding RNA, 19 nt
Filed under: Dictyostelium discoideum
Lineage: Eukaryota; Evosea; Eumycetozoa; Dictyosteliales; Dictyosteliaceae
Source: RNAcentral
ACCUUGUUUGACCAUUGAU